GGCACUGAGCACUGAGUGAUACAAAUGCCAUUUUUAAAGUUAUUUGAAGAGAUUUUGUCAUUAUUUCCAGCUCUUACAGGAGGCUUUUUUACCCUAAAGCUGUGGCUGUUUUCACACUUGGCUCUCCAGGUCAUGAGCAGCAGGUGACACAAAAGGACAGGACAGAGGUGACACCUCUCCUGCCUCACUCUGGGAUGCUCUGUGGGCAAGCCCAGCCCGGGCAGGACAUGGCUGCAUCCAUCCCUCAGCCACAGGAAUGGCUUUACAUCCCAAAAUCCUGCCAGGAGCAGGUUCAGGACAUGGCUGCAUCCAUCAUCCAUCAGCUACAUCCCAAAAUUCUGCCAGGAGCAGGUUCAGGACGUGGCUGCAUCCACCCCUCAGCCACAGGAACGGCUGUGCAUCCCAAAAUCCUGCCAGGAGGGGGUUCAGGACAUGCAUCCACCCCUUACCUACAGGAAUGGCUGUGCAUCCCAAAAUCCUGACAGGAGCAGGUUCAGGAUGUGGCUGCAUCCAUCCUUCACCUACAGGAAUGGCUGUACAUGCCAAAAUCCUGCCAGGAGGGGGUUCAGGACAUGGCUGCAUCCAUCAUCCAUCAGCUACAUCCCAAAAUCCUGCCAGGAGCAGGUGCUGCACAUCCCUGUGGGGUAUGGGGCAGCUCCUGGGAUGCCUCACUGGCAUCAGAGCAUCCCCAAAUCCCAUCUGCACCCCCCACGCCGCAUUAAUGGCUCGUACUUUGCUAAUUGUACAAACCUAA
This 754-nucleotide long non-coding RNA is filed under the name Taeniopygia guttata (zebra finch). RNAcentral's name for it is "lncRNA (ENSTGUG00000025298.1)". The record is from RNAcentral. Lineage: Eukaryota; Metazoa; Chordata; Aves; Passeriformes; Estrildidae.